Podarcis muralis (Common wall lizard) is the source of this 594-nucleotide non-coding RNA. Lineage: Eukaryota; Metazoa; Chordata; Lepidosauria; Squamata; Lacertidae. The record is from RefSeq and is a predicted model, not a curated record.
UAUACAUGUUUGGUUCUUCAGCUGCAACUCCUAGCUUAGCUGAAAAAAGUCCUAGGCCUAGGGUCCUCUUUAUAAUACGUUUACCAUCACAGCAAGUUAUGAAGGAAUAUUUGCUCCUGAAUUUGCCAUGGCAUACAGAAAUGUGUUUAAAUAUUGGGGCAGUCCUCCUGCCCUUCUGGGAAUCUGAGCCACAAAGCUCCAGCGUGGGACAUUGGGCAGGAGCCUUUAUGGACAGCUAAGGGAAAAAGGUCAAGCUGAAAGAGUGGGGGUCACAAGCAGGGAUAUAAAGAGAGGUGAAUGGUGUGACACAAGAAGUUUGUUAACAGCAAAACAAGACCCAUAAUGUCUGAAGGAGGAAAAAAAUGCUGUUAGCUGCAUCUGCCUAUCUAUCUAUAUAUUCCUAGUGAUAUUUUGAGGACAGAGGUGCCUGGCGUGCUCUGGUCCAUGGGGUCACGAAGAGUCAGACACGACUAAACGACUAAACAACAACAACAACAAAGUGAUAUUUUGAAUUAUAAAAGCAGAGAUGUGAGUAUGUAUAGCAUUUUUUAUAAAUGUGUGAGAGGAAGAUCACAAAACUAAGAAACCACAUCC